GACGAACGCUGGCGGCGUGCUUAACACAUGCAAGUCGAACGGAAAGGCCCUGCUUUUGUGGGGUGCUCGAGUGGCGAACGGGUGAGUAACACGUGAGUAACCUGCCCUUGUCUUUGGGAUAACUUCAGGAAACUGGGGCUAAUACCGCAGAGGAGCUCCUGCUGCACGGUGGGGGUUGGAAAGUUUCGGCGGUUUGGGCUGGACUCGCGGCUUAUCAGCUUGUUGGUGGGGUAGUGGCUUACCAAGGCUUUGACGGGUAGCCGGCCUGGGAGGGGGACCGGGCACAUUGGGCCUGCGAUACGGCCCAGACGCCUACGGGCGGCAGCAGUGGGGAAUAUUGCACAAUGGGCGGAAGCCUGAUGCAGCAACGCCGCGUGCGGGAUGACGGCCUUCGGGUUGUGAACCGCUUUCGCCUGUGACGAAGCGUGAGUGACGGUAAUGGGUAAAGAAGCACCGGCUAACUACGUG
Molecule: ribosomal RNA, 468 nt
Filed under: uncultured bacterium
Lineage: Bacteria
Description: partial 16S ribosomal RNA
Rfam family: Bacterial small subunit ribosomal RNA
Source: RNAcentral